AAAGGAACGCUAAUACCGCAUACGUCCUACGGGAGAAAGUGGGGGAUCUUCGGACCUCACGCUAUCAGAUGAGCCUAGGUCGGAUUAGCUAGUAGGUGGGGUAAUGGCUCACCUAGGCGACGAUCCGUAACUGGUCUGAGAGGAUGAUCAGUCACACUGGAACUGAGACACGGUCCAGACUCCUACGGGAGGCAGCAGUGGGGAAUAUUGGACAAUGGGCGAAAGCCUGAUCCAGCCAUGCCGCGUGUGUGAAGAAGGUCUUCGGAUUGUAAAGCACUUUAAGUUGGGAGGAAGGGUUGUAACCUAAUACGUUGCAAUUUUGACGUUACCGACAGAAUAA
RNAcentral lists this ribosomal RNA (340 nucleotides) under Pseudomonas sp. E7. Its description in RNAcentral is "bacterial SSU rRNA". It matches the Rfam family "Bacterial small subunit ribosomal RNA", at positions 154 to 489 of the family's 1533-position model. The record is from RNAcentral. Lineage: Bacteria; Pseudomonadati; Pseudomonadota; Gammaproteobacteria; Pseudomonadales; Pseudomonadaceae.